UUGAACGCUGGCGGCAGGCCUCACACCUGCAAGUCGCGCGGAUGAAGGGAGCUUGCUCCUGGAUUCAGCGGCGGACGGGUGAGUAAUGCCUAGGAAUCUGCCUGGUAGUGGGGGAUAACGUCCGGAAACGGGCGCUAAUACCGCAUACGUCCUGAGGGAGAAAGUGGGGGAUCUUCGGACCUCACGCUAUCAGAUGAGCCUAGGUCGGAUUAGCUAGUUGGUGGGGUAAAGGCCUACCAAGGCGACGAUCCGUAACUGGUCUGAGAGGAUGAUCAGUCACACUGGAACUGAGACACGGUCCAGACUCCUACGGGGGGCAGCAGUGGGGAAUAUUGGACAAUGGGCGAAAGCCUGAUCCAGCCAUGCCGCGUGUGUGAAGAAGGUCUUCGGAUUGUAAAGCACUUUAAGUUGGGAGGAAGGGCAGUAAGUUAAUACCUUGCUGUUUUGACGUUACCAACAGAAUAAGCACCGGCUAACUUCGUG
RNAcentral lists this ribosomal RNA (483 nucleotides) under uncultured bacterium. Its description in RNAcentral is "partial 16S ribosomal RNA". It matches the Rfam family "Bacterial small subunit ribosomal RNA", at positions 30 to 507 of the family's 1533-position model. The record is from RNAcentral.